UGGGGAAUAUUGCACAAUGGGCGCAAGCCUGAUGCGGCCAUGCCGCGUGUAUGAAGAAGGCCUUCGGGUUGUAAAGUACUUUCAGUCGGGAGGAAGGUGGUAAGGUUAAUAACCUUGGCAAUUGACGUUACCGACAGAAGAAGCACCGGCUAACUCCGUGCCAGCAGCCGCGGUAAUACGGAGGGUGCAAGCGUUAAUCGGAAUUACUGGGCGUAAAGCGCACGCAGGCGGUUGAUUGAGUCAGAUGUGAAAUCCCCGGGCUUAACCCGGGAAUUGCAUCUGAUACUGGUCAGCUAGAGUCUUGUAGAGGGGGGUAGAAUUCCAUGUGUAGCGGUGAAAUGCGUAGAGAUGUGGAGGAAUACCGGUGGCGAAGGCGGCCCCCUGGACAAAGACUGACGCUCAGGUGCGAAAGCGUGGGGAGCAAACAGG
RNAcentral lists this ribosomal RNA (429 nucleotides) under Chloroflexota bacterium. RNAcentral's name for it is "Chloroflexi bacterium partial 16S ribosomal RNA". It matches the Rfam family "Bacterial small subunit ribosomal RNA", at positions 355 to 776 of the family's 1533-position model. The record is from RNAcentral. Lineage: Bacteria; Bacillati; Chloroflexota.